CAGGAACUUCAUCUGAGUCUGUAACAGCCAAUCGGAACGCAGGAUGAGAUUUGUCAUCCAAUCAAAUGCAGUAUGAGCAUCAGAUGCCAGAAGAAGAAAUGUCCGAUCCUCUGAUUGGUCAGAGCUUUCUUGAUCAGGAAACGAGCCAGCGGAUUGUCCAGAUACAUCUCAUAUUUCAGGACCUGAAAACACAUGAAGUCUUUCUCCUGCUCUGAGAGCUCAUAGAGCGGGUCUCGGCUGCAGAGAGUGCGCAGCUGUUCCGCAUCCGCCUGAGAGAUGCUGCUGUCACACGCCAGACGGCUGCUCUGAUUGGCCACAGAGAGAUGCAGAACCUUGUUUGGGUUUGACCCCGACACUCCGAUGGGGUUGAGCAGAUCCUCCAGCCCGUGAGGAACCGGCCACAAACCCAAAGCCACUUUACCGCUGACCAGCGUGUCCUUAUAGUCGAAGAGGUUGAUGUUUCCCCAGGCCAGCGGACAGUGUUCCUGCACACACACACAGAGCAGCCGCACUCUCAUGUGUGUGUUGAAGGCCCAGAGGGAGCGCGGGGAUCCGGGGUCUCCUCCGCCAGGACAG
Danio aesculapii is the source of this 576-nucleotide long non-coding RNA. RefSeq lists it as uncharacterized. The transcript is spliced from 5 exons. NCBI's taxonomy places the organism in Eukaryota, Metazoa, Chordata, Actinopteri, Cypriniformes, Danionidae. The record is from RefSeq and is a predicted model, not a curated record.